RNAcentral lists this ribosomal RNA (333 nucleotides) under Triticum aestivum (bread wheat). Its description in RNAcentral is "partial small subunit ribosomal RNA". The record is from RNAcentral. Lineage: Eukaryota; Viridiplantae; Streptophyta; Magnoliopsida; Poales; Poaceae.
AUGGAAGAAAUUGACAUGGUGUACAAGAAGGAGCUGGCUUUACAGUCUGGCAUUAAGCACUGGGGAGGAAUUCCUUAUUUAGGUGGUGAGCUCACAUUCAUUUCAGAUCAUGUGGAUGUUACCAAAAUCUUGCCUUAUGUUGCAGUUUCCAACCGUAGAGGCUUGUUAUAUGCAUUUGGUUUCCUCAACCUGGAGUUAAAUACAGGCUUGUCACUGAAUGAGCUUAUAUCACUCUUUGUGUCAUUGAAUAAGCUUGUAUCACUCAAAAGUCAAAACAUACUGGUGCAAACGAGCCUGGCUUUGUUUAAUAGCACCAUCAAGACCAAAUAUUGA